AAUGUGGAGGCUAUAUACAGGGGUACCGGUACAGAGUCAAUGUGGAGGCUAUAUACACGGGGUACCGGUACAGAGUCAAUGUGGAGGCUAUAUACAGGGGGUACCGGUACAGAGUCAAUGUGGAGGCUAUAUACAGGGUAUUACGGUACAGAGUCAAUGUGGAGGCUAUAUACAGGGUGUUACGGUACAGAGUCAAUCUGGAGGCUAUAUACAGGGGGCACGGGUGCUGAGUCAAUGUGUGGGGGCGCCGGUUAGUUGAGGUAGUAUGUACAUGUAGGUAGAGUUAAUUAAAGUGACUAUGCAUAGAUGACAACAGAGAGUGGCAGUGGUGUGGAGAGGUGGGGGGUGAAUUGUCUGGGUAGUCCUUUGACUAGGUGUUCAGGAGUCUUAUGGCUUGGGGGUAGAAGCAGUUAAGAAGCCUCUUGGACCUCGACUUGGC
Oncorhynchus tshawytscha (Chinook salmon) is the source of this 439-nucleotide long non-coding RNA. Lineage: Eukaryota; Metazoa; Chordata; Actinopteri; Salmoniformes; Salmonidae. The record is from Ensembl.